CUCCCGGUGGAUGUGGACGAGCAAGGCCUGCAGGACCUCUUCUCCCAGUUUGGGAAAAUGCUGAGUGUGAAGGUGAGCGGGCGGCUGCUGUACGCAGGCCGGGCCCAAAAGCGCGUGGAGCGGCAGAAUGAACUGAAGCGCAGGUUUGAGCAGAUGAAGCAGGACCGGCUGAGGCGUUACCAGGGUGUGAACUUGUACGUGAAGAACCUGGAUGACUCCAUUGAUGACGACAAGCUGAGGAAGGAGUUCUCUCCCUAUGGAGUAAUUACCAGUGCGAAGAAGAGGCGACAAAGGCCGUGACAGAGAUGAACGGGCGCAUCGUGGGCACCAAGCCACUCUACGUGGCACUGGCCCAGCGCAAAGAGGAGCGGAAGGCCAUUUUGACCAACCAGUACAUGCAGCGCCUCUCCACCAUGCGGACCUUGAGCAACCCCCUCCUGGGCUCCUUUCAGCAGCCCUCCAGCUACUUCCUGCCUGCCGUGCCCCAG
RNAcentral lists this small RNA (488 nucleotides) under Pongo abelii (Sumatran orangutan). RNAcentral describes it as "processed transcript". Lineage: Eukaryota; Metazoa; Chordata; Mammalia; Primates; Hominidae. The record is from RNAcentral.